UACGUAGGGCGCAAGCGUUGUCCGGAAUUAUUGGGCGUAAAGAGCUCGUAGGCGGUUUGUCGCGUCGACUGUGAAAUCCCGCGGCUCAACUGCGGGUCUGCAGUCGAUACGGGCAGGCUAGAGUUCGGUAGGGGAGACUGGAAUUCCUGGUGUAGCGGUGAAAUGCGCAGAUAUCAGGAGGAACACCGAUGGCGAAGGCAGGUCUCUGGGCCGAUACUGACGCUGAGGAGCGAAAGCGUGGGGAGCGAACAGG
RNAcentral lists this ribosomal RNA (253 nucleotides) under uncultured bacterium. RNAcentral describes it as "partial 16S ribosomal RNA". It matches the Rfam family "Bacterial small subunit ribosomal RNA", at positions 524 to 776 of the family's 1533-position model. The record is from RNAcentral.